UGGCGGCGCGUUUAAACAUGCAAGUCAAACGGAUGUAGCAAUACAUCAGUGGCGAACGGGUGAGUAACACGUAGGUAAUCUACCCUCGAGUUUGGGAUAACCUGUCGAAAGGCAGGCUAAUACUGAAUGGUAUCAUGAUAGCGAGAGCUGAUAUGAUUAAAGGAGCGAUUUGCUCGAGGAUGAGCCUGCGGCUGAUUAGCUAGUUGGUGAGGUAAAGGCUCACCAAGGCGACGAUCAGUAGCCGGCCUGAGAGGGUGAACGGCCACAUUGGGACUGAGACACGCCCAAUAACUCACUUAUGGAGUCAA
RNAcentral lists this ribosomal RNA (308 nucleotides) under uncultured Leptospira sp. RNAcentral's name for it is "bacterial SSU rRNA". It matches the Rfam family "Bacterial small subunit ribosomal RNA", at positions 37 to 350 of the family's 1533-position model. Lineage: Bacteria; Pseudomonadati; Spirochaetota; Leptospiria; Leptospirales; Leptospiraceae. The record is from RNAcentral.